CACGUGGCCGGCCUUCUCUGCCUCCAGGGUCUGCUUCACCAUCUCUUGGAUCUGUAGCUGGGCUGCUGCCCAUGCCUCGGACCUGGCCUUCGCCUUGGCCUCCUCCAGCCUGGGAGAGAGACGUGAAAACCAGACACGUAGUCCAGACGUUCCUGCAGCGCCUCUUUGACCUUCCUCCUGAGCUCGUCUUCAUCCACUGAGGAUAACAAAGAGGACAUCAUCAUCAGCCAGGGCAUUCGAUUAAAUAAGAGUCCACAGGGUUAUGGGGCUAGUGACAUCCUAUCUUAAUUUAACAUGGAGUCUUUGAUGGAUACCACUACUGUGGUGUGCCUGUCGGGAAACAAGAUGGCUUCCACCAGCAAUGGCAACCUCCAAAAAGUAAACAUUGCGUAACUCAAACAUAACUCUACAACUCCCACAAAAAAAAUGUGCUACAAUUUUUUUGCAGAACCAUGUACAAUAUCAGUAAAGAUGCAAAUGCGUUACAUGAAACAAAAGCUGUGUGGUAAUUGUUUGAAUUGGUUUGUGUGUGUGUGUGCAUUGGAUGUUGAAUGUAUAAAUAUAACAAGCCUGUUCAGUAUAGAUGUUGAGGAAUGCAAGGCAGCCUUCACAGGGCCCGUGUCGAAACCAACAUGAUUUUUGCUGCAUUGUUGCUACCUUACACAGGUUUGUGAUACAAAAUAAAGAAAGAGAGACGCACCUGUGACAUCAGGCACAGGUUGCGGGCGCAAGAUGAAUACAGGAAACAGAUCCUCAGUAGCAGGAAGGGAAGUUGAGCUCUGGACUUCGGCCUCAGCGUCUUGCGGGGGCGGCUCCAUGUCUAUGGGCUCCGUUGGGGGUUCUGCUGCCGCCGAUUCAUAGGUUGAGAGAGAAACCUCCAUGGAGUGACGGGGUUGGGGUAAAUCUGCAGGGGUUGGAGGCUCGGAGACUGCCGUCUGAGACACCACACAGUGCUCGAUAUCGAUGAAAGCGGGGCUUGGAGGAGCAACAGAUUCAAAGGACAGAACUGGAACAGCAGUGAUGUUGUCUUCCACAGAUGGAGCGACGCUGGUGGUAACGAGGAUGGCUUCAGAAGGCUUGGGGGGAGAAGUCACCACUUCAACUGGAGCCGGGAGGAGAAUGGGAGGUACAUUGAGAGUAGGUUCUGCCACUGGAGUAGCACAUGGGGUCUCCUGUUGCUCUUCGACUAUGGCGCACUGUUGCAAUGUUUGGGGAUGAGGUGGAGAGGGAGUAGUGACUUCAGCCUCAGUAGGGAGUGGAGGUUCAACUGGAGCAGAGAGGAGAACCUUGGGUUCCACCAAGAUCGGAAGAGCUGUUUCAGUUUGGGGAGAGGGUAUAGAUUCAACUAUAGGUUCCACCCAAGUAGGAAGAGCCAUUUCAGUUUGGGGUGAGGAUAUAGAUUCAACUAUAGGUUCCACCAAUGUAGGAAGAGCUGUUUCAAUUAAAGUAGGUGGAACAGAUUCGACUACCGGUUCCACCAAGGUAGGAAGAGCUGUUUCAGUUUGGGGAGAGGGUAUAGAUUCAACUAUAGGUUCCACCAACGUAGGAAGAGCCAUUUCAGUUUGGGGAGAGGAUAUAGCUUCAACUAUAGGUUCCACCAAUGUAGGAAGAGCUGUUUCAAUUAAAGUAGGUGGUACAGAUUCGACUACCGGUUCCACCAAGGUAGGAAGAGCCACUACGGUUUGAGGAGGGACUAUAGAUUUGACUACAGGUUCAAUCCCCAUAGGAAGAGCGGUUUCAGUUUGAGGAGUAGGCACAGGUUGGGCUAUAGGUUCCACCAAGGGAGGGAGAGCCACUUCAGUUUGGGGAGGCACUAUAGAUUGAACUAUAGGUUCCUUCAAGAGAGGAAGGGCUGUCUCAGUUUGAGGAGGAGGUACCAAUUGGACUAUGGGUUCCACCAACGUAGGAAGCACCAUUUCAGUUUGGGGAAAAGGUAUGGAUUGGACUUUUGGUUCCACCAAGGUUGGAAGAGCCGUUUCAGUUGGAGGAGGCACUAUAGAUUGGACUAUGGGUUCCACCAAUGUAGGAAGAGUUGUUUCGGUUUGAGGAGGAGGUAAAGAUUGGACUGUGGAUUCCACCAAUGUUGGAAGAGAUGUUUCAGUUUGAGGAGGAGGUACAGAUUGAACAAUGGGUUCCACCAACGCAGGAGAAGCCAUUUCAAUUUGAAGAGGGGGUACAUAUUCGACUGUAGGUUCCACCAAGGUAGGAAGAGCUGUUUCAGUUUGAGGAGGAGAUAAAGAUUGGAUUAUAGUUUCCACCAGGGUAGGAGGAGCCACUAAGGUUUGAGGAGGCACUGUAGGUUCCACUAUGGUUGGAAGAGAUGUUUCAGUUUGGGGAGGAGGUACAGAUUGGGUGAUGGGUUCCACUAAUGUGGGAAGAACCAUUUCAGGUUCAGAAAGCGGUUUAGAUGUUGCCUCGGGUUCGGGGACAGGGGAGGUCAUCGUUAUGGCAACAGGCUCCGUCAUGGU
Gadus macrocephalus (Pacific cod) is the source of this 2468-nucleotide long non-coding RNA. RefSeq lists it as uncharacterized. The record is from RefSeq and is a predicted model, not a curated record. The transcript is spliced from 3 exons. NCBI's taxonomy places the organism in Eukaryota, Metazoa, Chordata, Actinopteri, Gadiformes, Gadidae.